CUAAAAUGUACAUUCUAUUUCAAUAGACCUUGUUAUAAAGUACCUCUGAUACUCCUACCUCUUCCCACUGAAAAAGCAUAAAUUGUAAGUCUGUUUAAGUUUAGUGAUAUGAGAUAGUGUGUGGAAUAAAUUUUAAAUUAUGUUUGUUUUUUAUAUUUUUCCUAGCAUUGUAUAAUUAUCAUAUUCAAUUUGUGUGUAUACAACACUCAACACAGUGUCUUCUCCAAAAUAGGUCACAUUGAUAUGAAGCACAGAGACAGCUCUGAAAGCUGCCAAGGAACCAACAAGUGACAAAUGGAAUGAAGUCCCACACUCCUCUGCUUUCAUUCAUCAAGACACAAGAUUGGACUUUAAACCAAAUGUAGUUUGGUUUUAACUCUUCCUUAUUAGAUUAGGAAAGCUGAUCUUUCAUUAGUCAUUCUGUUUAAACUUAGAAGAAUUUUUAUAUAUCUCUGUCACUAUCUCUAUAUCUAUAUGUUUCUGAUUAACUGAAUGUGUGAAAGUUCUGGGGGGAAAUGUAU
This 521-nucleotide long non-coding RNA is filed under the name Monodelphis domestica (gray short-tailed opossum). RNAcentral's name for it is "lncRNA (ENSMODG00000034065.2)". Lineage: Eukaryota; Metazoa; Chordata; Mammalia; Didelphimorphia; Didelphidae. The record is from RNAcentral.